This 253-nucleotide ribosomal RNA is filed under the name uncultured bacterium. RNAcentral describes it as "partial 16S ribosomal RNA". It matches the Rfam family "Bacterial small subunit ribosomal RNA", at positions 524 to 776 of the family's 1533-position model. The record is from RNAcentral.
UACGUAGGGUGCAAGCGUUAAUCGGAAUUACUGGGCGUAAAGCGUGCGCAGGCGGUUUUGUAAGUCUGACGUGAAAUCCCCGGGCUCAACCUGGGAAUUGCGUUGGAGACUGCAAGGCUAGAAUCUGGCAGAGGGGGGUAGAAUUCCACGUGUAGCAGUGAAAUGCGUAGAGAUGUGGAGGAACACCGAUGGCGAAGGCAGCCCCCUGGGUCAAGAUUGACGCUCAUGCACGAAAGCGUGGGGAGCAAUCAGG